GACGUAGGGGCGAGCGUUGUCCGGAAUUACUGGGCGUAAAGAGCACGUAGGCGGGAACCUAAGUCAGGUGUGAAAGACCGUGGCUCAACCACGGGGUGGCAUUUGAAACUGGGUUUCUUGAGGGCAGGAGAGGAAAGCAGAAUUCCUGGUGUAGCGGUGAAAUGCGUAGAAAUCAGGAGGAAUACCAGUGGCGAAGGCGGCUUUCUGGACUGACCCUGACGCUGAGGUGCGAAAGCGUGGGUAGCAAACAGGAUUAGAUACCCGUGUAGUCCCUGAGCGGG
This 281-nucleotide ribosomal RNA is filed under the name uncultured prokaryote. Its description in RNAcentral is "partial 16S ribosomal RNA". It matches the Rfam family "Bacterial small subunit ribosomal RNA", at positions 524 to 803 of the family's 1533-position model. The record is from RNAcentral.